This 91-nucleotide ribosomal RNA is filed under the name Enterobacter sp. Lineage: Bacteria; Pseudomonadati; Pseudomonadota; Gammaproteobacteria; Enterobacterales; Enterobacteriaceae. RNAcentral also lists the same sequence under 2 other names. The record is from RNAcentral.
CACCUGACCCCAUGCCGAACUCAGAAGUGAAACGCCGUAGCGCCGAUGGUAGUGUGGGGUCUCCCCAUGUGAGAGUAGGGAACUGCCAGAC